This 32-nucleotide non-coding RNA is filed under the name Rattus norvegicus (Norway rat). Lineage: Eukaryota; Metazoa; Chordata; Mammalia; Rodentia; Muridae. The record is from RNAcentral.
UGGGAGCAAAUGCCUCAAAUGGAGUGUCGCAU